This 351-nucleotide transfer-messenger RNA is filed under the name Paracoccaceae bacterium. RNAcentral's name for it is "Rhodobacteraceae bacterium (sponge metagenome) transfer-messenger RNA". It matches the Rfam family "Alphaproteobacteria transfer-messenger RNA". Rfam says of the family: Bacterial tmRNA, also known as 10Sa RNA or SsrA, is named for its dual tRNA and mRNA-like properties. Its role is to liberate the mRNA from a stalled ribosome. Lineage: Bacteria; Pseudomonadati; Pseudomonadota; Alphaproteobacteria; Rhodobacterales; Paracoccaceae. The record is from RNAcentral.
GUUCUUGAUGCGCCGAGGUCUGCACCCUAUAUUGGUCAUGUUCCCUCGGGGACUAUGGACAUAAACGCGCUCGUAAUAAGCGGAUCGGACCCGGGGGCGGUACCCGGCGGCUCCACCAAACAUCCUUCAUUUGGGGAUCAUGGGGCCGAAACAGGAUCGACGGACGUCUAAAGGGGUUUGCUUUGUCUCGGUGAGGUACCACCGAUAUCGGUCCAAUCAAGCUAGUUGCAAAUGACAACAAAGCUCCGAUGGCCCUCGCUGCGUAAGCAGUGCGGAAUAUCGAAAUCUAAGUCCUUUCGCCUAGCAGCGUAAGGCGGGGCCCGCCGGAGCCUGGCAACAGAAUCCGGCACC